RNAcentral lists this long non-coding RNA (4448 nucleotides) under Hordeum vulgare. RNAcentral's name for it is "long non-coding RNA (HVUL_LNC017370)". The record is from RNAcentral. Lineage: Eukaryota; Viridiplantae; Streptophyta; Magnoliopsida; Poales; Poaceae.
CCGCCAAUUCCUCUUAAACUGCUCGUAUGCGAUCAUGUGUUAGGAGUUCAUCCCGCAUCUGCCAGAUCUAAUUUAAAGAACGGAGUCAAUACAUGCAUAUAUAUGAAUAAAACUCAACACAAUUGAUGAUAAUAUAUAAAAUAAAAUUGUGAAUAUUAUUUACAUACUUGAUAUUGUUUCUCAGAUAAGCCUGCCCGUUCAGAGGUCGAGAGGCGAAUGAACUCGCAUACGUAGUAUGCACAUAAAUCAGUCUCACCUUUCUGGUAUAAGCAUUUUACGAGAAUAGAGUUCAAUCAAACUGAUAAGCAAGCAUGGUAAUGAUAUAUUGAUGAAAAUUUGAAUCAAUUAGAGAUGCCCGAAACUAGCUAGUACUAUUUACUUUGGGAUGCGUAAAUUGCAACGUAUUUAGACUGGGAGCCUUUGUGGUGAACUUCUUCCAAACCCGGCGAGACAAAGAAAAUGAUUACUUGAUAUCAAAAAAUUAAUGAAAGUUGCAUGACGAUAUGGUCCCGGUAUUGACUGAACUUACUUCUUGGGAUUGCAGUCAUGUCCGCAUAAUACUCAGAAUCUUUACGUCUCGAGUCUAAGACAGUUACUUUUGCCCCGUCAAGCUUAAUGGAUAGUAGAAUAAAGUGGUAACUGCACACGCAUAUAUAACUCAUAAAUUACAUUACUUAACCUCGAGUAAGCAAAACCGAGUAUACAAAGAAGACAACAACACUCACUUGAAGUUGUAAGGAAAGAGAAUUUUCCUUUUGUUUUGAUUUAUAAGGAACGACUUUAGCAAGUUCUCCUCAGUCUCUUUGAUUGAUUUUCGUACCGACCAUUCAUUUACGACAUCUGGGCUAAUGAACCCAACGUCGAAGAUUCCUGUUUUUUUAAUUCGAUAAUUUUCAAUCUGCAUAAUAUAUAUAGUGAGGAUAAUUAUAUGUACAUGCAAUGAACGAGUUGAGCUAGAUACUUAACUAUAGAAGUAAUACUUACAAACAGUAGGAAGUCAUGAAUUGUUUGUCGAGGACCAGUUAAUUGUAUAACUGAAAUAACUCCACAAAUUCAACAUGCAUCACUGGAGCUCCAAAUUUCACAGCCAUAUAGAUACUGUCUUUUCCAGACUUCCUGCAAGUUUUCAUGUAAUACUCAUGAAAUUUGUGCAUCAACGGUGUUAGAGGAGAAUGACCAGGUUUGACGAGAGGCUUCCCGUGCACGUAUUUAUAUUUUUCUUUUGUUACCUCAGCUGUUUCAAAAAUUACAUCAUCCUCCAAGUAAUCAUCAGGAUUGGUACCGGGCACCAUCCCCGGAUGAUUAGCGACGACGAUAUCGCUAGACACCUUGAGUGGGGGGCACGAUUGCUUCUCCUGUUGGCUGAGCUGGGGAACUGUUUUCCCACUUCUUCGUUUUGCUAACCUUGCAUCACUGCUAGCCGCUGGAGCGACGACGUCUCUCUUCCGUUUGAGAGAAGGAGGAGGAGGAGUGCACUGAUCACUCGCCGGAGGAGGAGGAGGAUGCGGAGUGCCCUGACUCGCCGAAGGAGGAGGAGGAGNNNNNNNNNNNNNNNNNNNNNNNNNNNNNNNNNNNNNNNNNNNNNNNNNNNNNNNNNNNNNNNNNNNNNNNNNNNNNNNNNNNNNNNNNNNNNNNNNNNNNNNNNNNNNNNNNNNNNNNNNNNNNNNNNNNNNNNNNNNNNNNNNNNNNNNNNNNNNNNNNNNNNNNNNNNNNNNNNNNNNNNNNNNNGAGGAGGAGGAGGAGGUGGAGUGCCCUGAUCACUCGCCAGAGGAGGAGGAGGCGGAGUGCCUUGAUCACUCGCCGGAGGAGGGGGAGGAGGAGGCAGAGUGCCCUGACUCGCCGAAGGAGGAGGAGGAGGAGGCGGAGGCGUCCAGUUUGGAAGCUUGAUGUACUCCUUCUGUCAUAGACAUGUACUCCUCACAACAUGAACUAGCUUAUUCUCCCCUUCACCUGUAGGGUGGUCAAGUUCGAGCUCCUCAAAUCCCUCCAUUACUUCAUCCACCAUCACAACAACAAAGCCAUGUGGAAUCGGAAGGCAGUGAAAGUUCCAUUGGGUUGAGGAGGUGCAACAGAGCCGAUAGCAGCCUUGAAAGUGAGGUUCCAACAUUUCAUCAUAAGCUCCCAAUGUUGAGCCUCCGUGAUAGUAUCCACGGGGUAGCAAGGAGCCGUGAAGUCAGGCUGAACGAGCUCCGUGGAAGCCACGCUGCUUCUCCGCUGAGCAUCUGGGGUAGCUUCGUGCCGCUGAGAUGGUUGGCCGGCAGCUCGCUGCUGGCUUUCAAGUUCCUCUAACUUUUGUAGUCUUGCAUUGAUCUUUUGCAUGUUGCUCAGCGCCGAUUUCCUCUUUCUCUCUCGGCUUCUGUAACUGUCUGCGUAGGGAAAUCCAACCUUCCACGGAAUGGAGCCUGGUGUCCCUCGUGUUUGUCCAGGGUGAUCAACAUUCCCUAGGGCCUCAGUCAGCUCGUCCUUCUCUCUGUCGGGAAUGAACGUCCCUUCCUGCGUUGCGGUGAUACACUUCUGAAGCUUCUUGAUGGGUAUUGCAAGUUGCUCGUCCGUCCAACGACACUUCCCUGUUUCAUGGUCCAAAGUUCCCCCAACCCCGAAGAACCAAGUCUUUGAACGGUCUGGCCAGUUAAAUGUCUGUGGUUCGACCCCUUUAGCAUUCAGGUCAUUCUCAGCUUUGUCCCAUAACAAACGGGCUUUGAGGUAGCCACCUCACCCCGUGUGAUGGUGAUACUGCUUUUUUGCAGCAUUGUUCUUGUUUGUCUCUGACAUUUUCUUACUAUUGUCCGAUGUCUUGUAGGCCACAAAUGCGGGCCAGUGAUCUCUCAUCUUCUCAAAUCGGCCGAUGAAUUCUGGAGUCUUCCCUUUAUCGACAAACUUUGAUUUCAACUCUUUCUUCCACCUCCUGAAUAGAUCUGCCAUCUUCUUAAGAGCACACACCUUGACUAGUGGCUCUAUAACUGGCUUAUUCAGAUCCUCCUCUGGCAGUAGGGUGAAAUUUGCCUUCAGCGCGGUCCAAAGAUCAUCUUUCUGCCUAUCGAUGACAUAAUCACCUUCAGGGACGUUGUUGCCCUUAGGCUUAUUCCAUUGCUUGAUGCUGAUCGGGACAUUGUCCCUAACAAUAGCUCCGCACUGAGCAGAAAAUGCGUCCUUGGUCCGCUUGGGUAGAAUCGAUAGGCCAUCGUCCGCGAAUGUUGUGAUCAUGAACUUUUCAUCCUUGCUCAACCUUCUCUUUGGGUCUCGUCUCGUAACCGAAGUUUGGCUCGAUCCGAACUUUGCAACAGCUCCCUCCUCCAUUCAUUCACCGGAGCCGUCAUCAUGGUCUCCUUCUUCCUCCAACAUUCGGUCACCGGAGCCAUCAUGAUCAUGUCCUUCCUCCUCCAUUGUUCGAUCACGGGAGCCGUCAUCCUCUCCUUCCAGACCAUCGGUGUCGUUGAGAUACCAAGAGAACUCACCUCCGUCGCGGAUUAUCUCACCCAACAACUCUUCUUGUUCCAAGUUUUUUGGAUCCAUAGUUUCUGCAAAUAUUACAACAUGGCAAUUAAUAUACAAACAUGAAUGUCCGACUUCCAGACCGCCUCUUUCAUGAAUGUCAAUCAACGAAUUCUAUACAAAAAACUUUCUUCUAUGAACAAAAAAUUGUGUCUCAUCACUACUUGGAGGGGUGUGUUUAGUUCAUCCAUGAAGGAAUCUUCGCAAGUCACAGAUUCUAUAAUUUCAUCGCUAACAAGUCAGGGACUCAAAUUUGAACCGUGUCUUGUCACUACUGGGAGGGGUAUCACCAAAAUCGGUUAGCAAUAGAACAUGAUCCAACAAUAUUCGAUUUUUUUCCAAGACCCAUACCAAAGAUGUUGUACUAAAUGUCAUCUUAGCUAUAGGAGUCCUACUUUGGUACCAAAUCAUGGAGUAGACAAGAGUCCUAUUUUACUAUUCGUUUAUGUAUAAUCAUAAACUAGAAACAUUUAUCAUGAUAUUCUUAUACAUAAACAAAUGUACAUAGUGAAUAUUUGAAAAUAUACAAAAAUGCAUAGUGAAUAUUUGAAAAUGUACAAAGAAAAUGUACAAACACGGCGACGACGGGCGAGGGGCGGCGACGGGCGACGACGGGCUCGGGGUGGCGACGGCGACGACGGGCUCGGGACGACGGCGACGACGAUGGGCUCGGGGGCGAUGACGAAGGCCUUCAUGGAGCUCAGACUCCAAAAUGCCCUACUCUCUACUUCUUCACUUCUCUAUAGUGAAAUGGGUUCAUGUAAGAGUGGCUGAACUACUGAGUUGGAAAGACGGUGAUAUUGUUUAUCUGCAUCUCUACUAUUUGUGCAUCUAUUGUUGGACACAUUUUUGAGCUUUUGGAUCAACAUUUAAUCAUCCUUAUCUUACACAUAUGCACAUGUUAGAGAAGUGCAGUUUGAGGCGUAGCAAUAUACUCCAACCGUAAACUAAUAUAA